AUUGAACGCUGGCGGCAGGCCUAACACAUGCAAGUCGAGCGGAUGAGGAGUGCUUGCACUCCGAUUCAGCGGCGGACGGGUGAGUAAUGCCUAGGAAUCUGCCCGAUAGUGGGGGACAACGUUUCGAAAGGAACGCUAAUACCGCAUACGUCCUACGGGAGAAAGUGGGGGCUCUUCGGACCUCACGCUAUCGGAUGAGCCUAGGUCGGAUUAGCUAGUUGGUGGGGUAAAGGCCCACCAAGGCGACGAUCCGUAACUGGUCUGAGAGGAUGAUCAGUCACACUGGAACUGAGACACGGUCCAGACUCCUACGGGAGGCAGCAGUGGGGAAUAUUGGACAAUGGGCGAAAGCCUGAUCCAGCCAUGCCGCGUGUGUGAAGAAGGUCUUCGGAUUGUAAAGCACUUUAAGUUGGGAGGAAGGGCUGUAAGCUAAUACCUUGCAGUUUUGACGUUACCGACAGAAUAAGCACCGGCUAACUUCGUGCCAGCCGCCGCAGUAA
Molecule: ribosomal RNA, 500 nt
Filed under: uncultured bacterium
Lineage: Bacteria
Description: partial 16S ribosomal RNA
Rfam family: Bacterial small subunit ribosomal RNA
Source: RNAcentral